Molecule: long non-coding RNA, 527 nt
Filed under: Pan troglodytes (chimpanzee)
Lineage: Eukaryota; Metazoa; Chordata; Mammalia; Primates; Hominidae
Description: long non-coding RNA NONPTRT004290
Source: RNAcentral
AACAAAAUUUUGACUGCAUUUUGUCUGUGACUCAUCACAUGAGGUCAUGUGUGAAAUUUUUCACUUGUGGCAUCGAGUCAGUGUUCAAAAAGUUUUGGAUUUUGGAGGAUUUCAGAUUUUAGAUUUUUGGAUUAGGGAUGCUCAACCUAGGUGGUGGUUUGAAUUUGCACGCGUUGAUAGUCUGCCCUUGGACAUUCAAGAUAGCCUCUCACAACAUGUCUCCAAACUGUUGAUUUAUCUUUUUUUUUUCUUUUUUUUGAGAUGGAGUCUCGCUCUGUUGCCAGGCUGGAGUGCAGUGGCACGAUCUUGGCUCACUGCAACCUCGCCGCCCUCUAAUUUCCACUGGUCAAAAUUCCUCUCAUUAUUUGACUAGCACUAGUACUCAGUUUGUACCUUCCCUGACCUUAUUUUGUUUUGUUUUAUGUACUUGUCAUAUUAGUUCUUUAACUCUGUAUUUUGAAAUACUUUCAAACUCACAGAAAAGUUACAAAAAUUAUACUGAACAUACACCCUUUGCACGGAUACAC